UUAAAUUCAGGGGGUCUUCCCACUUCAUCUGAGGUCUAAUUCAUAGAUGAUGCAAAGUUGUUUACUCAAAACGUGUUGCCACGCCUCAAGUGCACUCCUUCGUUUCAUAUGUUUCUUGGGCUACUCGACAUAGGGUCAGUGGAUUGAAUUCACAGUUAAGUGAAAGCAACUUGCCACGAACACACACAGUCGUGCGGCUG
RNAcentral lists this unclassified non-coding RNA (200 nucleotides) under soil metagenome. RNAcentral's name for it is "partial internal transcribed spacer 2". The record is from RNAcentral.